UACGGAGGGUGCAAGCGUUAUCCGGAUUCACUGGGUUUAAAGGGCGCGUAGGUGGGAAUGUAAGUCAGUGGUGAAAUCUCCGUGCUUAACAUGGAAACUGCCAUUGAUACUAUGUUUCUUGAAUCUUCCGGAGGUCAGCGGAAUAUGUCAUGUAGCGGUGAAAUGCUUAGAUAUGACAUAGAACACCAAUUGCGAAGGCAGCUGACUGCAGGGGCAUUGACACUGAGGCACGAAAGCGUGGGGAUCAAACAGG
RNAcentral lists this ribosomal RNA (253 nucleotides) under uncultured bacterium. RNAcentral describes it as "partial 16S ribosomal RNA". It matches the Rfam family "Bacterial small subunit ribosomal RNA", at positions 524 to 776 of the family's 1533-position model. The record is from RNAcentral.